Molecule: non-coding RNA, 465 nt
Filed under: Devosia chinhatensis
Lineage: Bacteria; Pseudomonadati; Pseudomonadota; Alphaproteobacteria; Hyphomicrobiales; Devosiaceae
Description: Bacterial small subunit ribosomal RNA
Rfam family: Bacterial small subunit ribosomal RNA
Source: Rfam by way of RNAcentral
CCUACGGGAGGCAGCAGUGGGGAAUCUUCCACAAUGGGCGAAAGCCUGAUGGAGCAACGCCGCGUGGGUGAAGAAGGUCUUCGGAUCGUAAAACCCUGUUGUUAGAGAAGAAAGUGCGUGAGAGUAACUGUUCACGUUUCGACGGUAUCUAACCAGAAAGCCACGGCUAACUACGUGCCAGCAGCCGCGGUAAUACGUAGGUGGCAAGCGUUAUCCGGAUUUAUUGGGCGUAAAGGGAACGCAGGCGGUCUUUUAAGUCUGAUGUGAAAGCCUUCGGCUUAACCGGAGUAGUGCAUUGGAAACUGGGAGACUUGAGUGCAGAAGAGGAGAGUGGAACUCCAUGUGUAGCGGUGAAAUGCGUAGAUAUAUGGAAGAACACCAGUGGCGAAAGCGGCUCUCUGGUCUGUAACUGACGCUGAGGUUCGAAAGCGUGGGUAGCAAACAGGAUUAGAUACCCUGGUAGUC